ACUCAAAUGAAUAGACGGGGACCCGCACAAGCAGCGGAGCGUGUGGUUUAAUUCGAGGCUACGCGAAGAACCUUACCUGGGUUUGACAUACAGGUGGUAGGGAUCCGAAAGGUGACCGACCCCUCGGGGAGCCUGUACAGGUGUUGCAUGGCUGUCGUCAGCUCGUGUCGUGAGAUGUCCGGUUAAGUCCGGUAACGAGCGCAACCCUUACCGUAUGUUACAAGUGUCAUACGGGACUGCCGAUAUAAAGUCGGAGGAAGGUGGGGACGAAGUCAAGUCAGCAUGACCUUUAUAUCCAGGGCUACACACACGCUACAAUGGCCGGUACAAUGGGUCGCAAAACCGCGAGGUGGAGCCAAUCCUGAAAGCCGGUCUCAGUUCGGAUUGUAGGCUGCAACUCGCCUACAUGAAGUCGGAGUUGCUAGUAACCGCGCGUCAGCACAGUGCGGUGAAUACGUUCCCGGGUCUUGUACACACCGCCCGU
RNAcentral lists this ribosomal RNA (484 nucleotides) under uncultured bacterium. Its description in RNAcentral is "partial 16S ribosomal RNA". It matches the Rfam family "Bacterial small subunit ribosomal RNA", at positions 899 to 1397 of the family's 1533-position model. The record is from RNAcentral.